GGUGAACGCUGGCGGUAGGCCUAACACAUGCAAGUCGAACGGCAGCACAGUAAGAGCUUGCUCUUACGGGUGGCGAGUGGCGGACGGGUGAGGAAUACAUCGGAAUCUACUUUUUCGUGGGGGAUAACGUAGGGAAACUUACGCUAAUACCGCACACGACCUACGGGUGAAAGCAGGGGAUCUUCGGACCUUGCGCGAUUGAAUGAGCCGAUGUCGGAUUAGCUAGUUGGCGGGGUAAAGGCCCACCAAGGCGACGAUCCGUAGCUGGUCUGAGAGGAUGAUCAGCCACACUGGAACUGAGACACGGUCCAGACUCCUACGGGAGGCAGCAGUGGGGAAUAUUGGACAAUGGGCGCAAGCCUGAUCCAGCCAUACCGCGUGGGUGAAGAAGGCCUUCGGGUUGUAAAGCCCUUUUGUUGGGAAAGAAAAGCAGCAGGUUAAUACCCCGCUGUUCUGACGGUACCCAAAGAAUAAGCACCGGCUAACUUCGUG
Molecule: ribosomal RNA, 492 nt
Filed under: uncultured bacterium
Lineage: Bacteria
Description: partial 16S ribosomal RNA
Rfam family: Bacterial small subunit ribosomal RNA
Source: RNAcentral